Molecule: long non-coding RNA, 637 nt
Filed under: Triticum aestivum (bread wheat)
Lineage: Eukaryota; Viridiplantae; Streptophyta; Magnoliopsida; Poales; Poaceae
Description: long non-coding RNA (TAES_LNC027194)
Source: RNAcentral
UUAGUGUGAUUUUCUUGUUCUGUAAUCGUUUCCUAAAAUUUGGAAGACAAAGUGCAAACGAACUAAAGGAAACAAACAAACACAUCAAUUGCUCUGAUUUGGCAAAAUGUAUAGCUGCAAGUCACAACACAACCAAGUGAAUUGCAAGACCAAUGGACAACCUAACAAUAUGCCCAAGCCUAACAGAUUCAGUAAGAGUGCACAAAAGAAGAGUGCCAUGUUCUGCCUAUUUCAGCUUCUAACAGUAACGAGCUACCUAGAGAAACAAUCUCAUGGCAGCCUGCCAAGUAGUAGGAUGGAUUUUUUUAAGAAGUUCUAGUCAUGAAACAGCACACAAGGUAAGGUAGCUCAUCCUACCCACUCCAGACUCAGCACAAGUGAUGAUAUUCCAUGCAAGACCACUAAACAAACAGAAAGAAAAACAAACGGAGCAAGCAAGCAGAUGGAAAGCAGCAAAUUAGAUGGUUUGAUAGUAAAGGUUCAACAGCAGCAUCCUAACAGGAUUCAAAGGUUCUGAGGCACCAAGUGCGGCAACCAGCUUAGGAACACAACAUACCAGGAGUCCCAACAGGCCAUCACAGGCCACUACCACAUACUACUAGUACUAGAUAACCAAGCGCAUAACCAAAAGUUGGAA